RNAcentral lists this ribosomal RNA (172 nucleotides) under uncultured bacterium. Its description in RNAcentral is "partial 16S ribosomal RNA". It matches the Rfam family "Bacterial small subunit ribosomal RNA", at positions 335 to 524 of the family's 1533-position model. RNAcentral also lists the same sequence under 2 other names. The record is from RNAcentral.
ACUCCUACGGGAGGCAGCAGUGGGGAAUCUUGCGCAAUGGGCGAAAGCCUGACGCAGCCAUGCCGCGUGAAUGAUGAAGGUCUUAGGAUUGUAAAAUUCUUUCACCGGGGACGAUAAUGACGGUACCCGGAGAAGAAGCCCCGGCUAACUUCGUGCCAGCAGCCGCGGUAAU